GAGAAGGAAGUGGAAUGUCAAUGUACAGGCUUGACGUCGGCACAUGGUGUUUGAUUGCAUGACCGGCUAUACACUUAAGAGUUUUAAAUAGCACUGUAUCCGCUCAAAAAUCAUUACUCGGUAACCCCAUUGUUGAUAAACAGUAGAUACUCACCCCUAGCUGUACUAUAGCCAUGUUAUCUACAUUGUGCACCUAGUUUCAGUCCCGGCACGGUCUUCUUACCCCAUUAAUAGUAACCCAGGGGACGUGUGUUUUGGCCGGACUGAGAGCUUUGGUCUUCAGGGCGUUCUCGUGCAUCAGUUUGAAGCCGAGCUUUCCCUUCACACAGGACGUGACUUUCAGGACCAAGCUUUGUCAUCGCUUUUCAACUUGGUUCUGCAAAUUGUACAAGGUGACGAACUGCACCUGUGACCAGUGGGAAUGGUAUAUAGUGGAGUGCUAUGGGGUGGGGCUUCAAGUCUCCUGGUUCAAGACCUGGGAGAACAUGAGUGAAGGUGUCUCUGUGAGGAGGCCUUCUUAUUGCCACCCGUACCAUGUGUUUGUUAUUUUCAGCCUGAGGGCCAUGUAUUUGUAAUAAAUAUCCCUUAACUUUGCAUCAGACAA
This is a long non-coding RNA of Salvelinus fontinalis (brook trout), 604 nucleotides long. RefSeq lists it as uncharacterized. The transcript has 2 exons. The record is from RefSeq and is a predicted model, not a curated record. Lineage: Eukaryota; Metazoa; Chordata; Actinopteri; Salmoniformes; Salmonidae.